ACGACCUGCAGAUCCCAACACUCCAGGAUGGUGCAGGACAUCAGUCUCAAGGCAUCUUCCUUCAUGUUCUCUGGGGGAGAGACUGACUGUGGGAAUCAGCCUUGGUUGCAAAGGGAAGCUGAGAGAAGAGAGCAGCGCAGGGCACGGACAUGCCAGCCCAGUUACUGGAGAUAUCUGCCGCUGGAGACGGGUUCAGAGCCUAGUUUAAUAUCCCGAAUUUCUGAUGCCAAGCUGAUCAUCGUCUCAGCACCAGCAAAGACAUGCUAUUCCCGUCCCUGACGAGCAUUUCCUUCUUGAGAAAGUGAUUUUGAGGGGCUGCAGAUGUACUUGGAGGAAGGUUUGGGCCGGGACAGAUGACGUGCCCAUGUGGGAGCUGGACGGCCCCUCUCUGGGUAGCUCCCUGGGAACUCCCAUGUCCGCCUCCCGCUGCCUCCUGAUCCAAGGUGGAUGCACUUCAUUUGAGGCCUGGUCUUUCGUCCUUCCCUCUCCUCUUCGGGGACCACUUUGUCUAGUGCUAGACUCAUUGUGCUUCCCCCUUGGGGCUUCCUUCAGCCCUCAGCCGAUUCAAGACUUCAAAAGGAAGUUGGACAUGGAGAGGAAAAAAGAAAUGAAACCAGGAAGGAACCGCCAAGAAGCACACAACGCGUUUAUGCUGCCUUAACCACACGCUUGACUCUAAAUGGGUUUAAAAAUUCUUACUUGUGUUAGCCCAAGAAAGUUUCUGCAGCCGUCUUUUUGGUUUAAACAAUCAAAUACUCAAUAAUUCUGGGGCUGGUGGGCCAGGAUAUGGGUUACUCAGAUCUUCUGCUUCACCCCAUGCUCGGUCCCUGAGCCAGUUCUGUCAUUGGUUCUUUCAGACCAGGGCAGGAAAAGUCAAGAAAGCAAAAGCGGAUUCUAGGCUGUGGGGUUUGCUGUUUGCUAGCCCCCUGGCAGAGAUGCCUGUCCUUGCAGUCCUGAACUGGUGGCCAAGUGUGCAUGCAUGCACGUGCAGGUGUGUGCAUGUGCAGGUGUGCAUGCGUGUAUGUGCGCACACACAUUCAUGCUUGUACAUGUUUGUGUACACGCACACUUUUUUCUGCUUUCAAUUUCAAGCUGUUGCCUCCCUGAUGUGUCUGUUUAGUGACUUGAGCCAGAAAGAUUCCCGGUUCUAUGUGGGAUGAGAAUGAACGCAGGCAGGUCUCCACAGAAGUGAGUAAAGUAGAGCUGAGAAGAAGGACAUUGUCUCAUGCCAGCCUGUCCAAUAGCCACUUUGCCCCAGCCCUGCCUCAAGCCCCAGAGAGAUGACAAGGCUCUCUCUGUUUGUCGACUCCUUGAAGCUCAGAAAGGUGGGUCAAGAGGUGCCCGUCAAGCGUUUAGGCAAGCACAGGACCCUGAUCUUUACUAAGUCUCCACAUCUCUCUUGCACAGCCCUGGGCUCAGGGCUUGGUCCCCUCUGGGCAGGCCAUCCAGACUAAGUGACAGUCAGAUUGUGUGUGGGGAGGCUAGAGACAUCCAUUCUUCAUGGAUCAGCCUGAAUGGCUGGACAGAUCUUGCAAAUGGAUUGUGUAAGACAGAGUGUGGAAGAGGAGGCUGUGAUCAGUGGCUUGGAGAGCAGAGUGUGGUCAGGCGCUAAACCUAAGGCUUUUCUGGGAAGAGCUGUUAAGAUUAGACUGUUCUCCCAAAAAGCCAAUAAUUCUGAGUGUCUCCAUUAAUGCCUAGGUAGCCCAUACUCUCACCCAGCCGGUGCCCUUCAGCCUGGAACCUUUGGAUGGAGGAUUGGACCUUGUGACCUUCAAGUUCCCUUCCGAACCAAAUAUGCUCUAACCCAGGUAUGCUGUUAUUUUCUUAUAUAAUGGGAGCAAGGAGGCACUGGGAUGCCCAAGGCGUCUAGGGUCUCACCAUGACACCCCUGGUCUCCUGCCCUAGUGGUCUGGCUGGGUCCUGCACAGAGCCCUCUCUUGUAAUCAGCCAGAUCUCCAAGAGCCACGGCUCCACACAGACCUACCCAUAGAUGGACGGCAGGGUGUGCCCUGCACACAUUCAUCCCUGCCCCGCUCAGCUUCCUGCCCCUCUGCCUUCGUUCAGCCUUGGUCCCCAGGAGAAGCAGACUCUUGGAGGCAAUUCCAACAGGCUGCAAUUCCCAGUCCAGCUCCGGCCCUUACUUCCUGCACGUCUCAGCCUGGCCUCCUCAUCUGUAAAGCAGGGGUGAAUACUACCUCUUUGGAUGCAGUGGAGUGUGGUGGGUCAUGGUGGAUCAGAGCAUGGGCUUGGAGCUAGACCACAUGCCACUCGCCAGCAAUGUGUGUCGCACAUUUGAAAACUUCACAUUUUCCUGCUGCCUCCACAUCCCCAGACACAGGUGGUGUGCACCUGCCUGGGUGACCCAGUGCACUAUUGUCACGGGGCCGGCCGUGCCACAAGUUCCCCUGACUGUGACCUAGUAACGUUCAAAUGCACUGGUGGAAUUCCCUCGUGUCUGUUUUUGGUGUGCUUCACUCUGAUCCCCAAUAAAAAAGCCUCACCCGCUCUCUGCCCCCCACCUGCUUGGUGGAGCCUGGGCCCUGGGUGCUCCUCCCAUGCGACCCCUCCCAGCGGAGUGUGCAGUGACUCUGUGGGGCCUGUGAGUCUGGGAACACCUGUUGCCCUGCGCCUCUCCUGUGCCUCCUCUUGCGGCUGCCCCCGAUUGACCAUUACCUAAAAUAAUCACACACACAGUGUGGUUCUGGACAAAUCACUUCCCUGCCCCUGCCCUCUGUUUCCUCCCCUGUCAAUGCACAUAGUAAGAAUAAGCUGCUCUUUGGGGCACAGAGAGGACAGAGUUGAUGUGUGAGUGUUGAGAAUGGUGCUUGGCAGAGAGUUCAGAUUAUUGGGACUUUGCAGGUUGCUAUAGUAAGGACAGAGGUAGGUGGCUCUCGGUGAACAGUGGCCAUUUGUGUUCUAAUCAGGCCCCAGGAGGAAUGCAGGGGGCUGUUUCCCUGUGCUGCAGGGACUACUGGCCUUUAAGGGCUCCUCAGAACCAAGGGUCUGGGUCAGAAGAAAGGUUCCAGGUGAGGGCUUCUGCCUUCCCUCUUGUGCUGUCCAGAGGUGAGUCCUGUCCUCCCUCAACAAGAUGACCUGGUGGAAGGAAGGAGGCAGCGGAGACCACGCGGCUUGGCUGCCUGCCUGUGGGCAGACCUGCAGGUGUGAGGGGCGGAAGCUUGGCCUGAAGCCUGAGGCCAAGCUGAAGGCCAAGCCUGCUGGGGGGCACAGAGCCAGACAGGACACAGUGGGCUCGCCAACACUGCAGAGGAAAGGGGUUCUCUCUCUGGGCCCAACAGCACUGGUCCCGCAAGCCUCAGGCCCCCUAAGGGCUGGUCGGUGCUGCACAGAGAGAGUGUCUCCACCCCAGGCCAUGGUACGUGCCCGGUUCACUGUCCCACCACGUGCCUCCAUCCAGCUACGUUGGUCAGGUCUAGGAUGUGCCACUCGGCUCUCGGGGACCUCAGCUGAGCGACCGCAUUGCCCAGGAUGCUGGAAAUCCUCACGAUAGGCCCCAGGCCGGAGGGCUGGGUGGGGGUAUGGCUGGCCCCCUGGCACACCAGUCCCCAGUGCUGGAAAAGAGCUCAAAGCCCAUGCCCUGGGGCCUUCACCCUGCAGGCCUAUCACAUCCACUCUCCCAGCGCCCUGGCUGUAGGCUCUCCCUCUCUUCCAAACGGGAGGGCCGUCCUGCAGGCCCGUACACAGGCGCUUCAUAUCCACAGCUGGAAACUAGGUCGCUGCUGGUGAGAGGCAGCAGGGGACGGUCCACAGGCUUUCGCAGCACCCUUCCUCUGCCACUGGUUCCCUGGGUCACUGUGCAAAAGCAGAGGCUGCAAAGUCUGUGGUGGAACCCGGGAAGCCGGAGAAGGAACACGGGGGCCUUUGAGGCUUCUUCCCGCUGCCCGAUUCCUUUCAGGCUCGGCCUGAUUUCUCUUUGAGACUUGGGCUGGUUCUGCCCCUCACACUUCCUUGCUGGUCUGGACAUUUUUCAGCCUCAUCUGUCCUCUUCUUCUCUUCCCACACACUAGGCUUUGACCCUUGGGAGGGGCUGUGGGGUGAAGAGAGGCCCCAGGCAGCAGGGAGCUUGCCUCUGCCAAGAGGGCAUGGAAGUUAGGGAGUUGGGGUCUGCCUGAGUCCUGAGCUGGGCUCCAGGCCUCUGGUCCUGCACAUUCCACCCCAGCCUCCCCUCCUGACACUCUGGGCAGCUGCGGAUCUUCCCAGCUUCCCAGGAAGAAGGCUGUCAAGGAGGCUCUGGUGCCUGUAACACCAGCCAUGCACCAGGCGAUCUCCAAACAUUCAGAUCAGUGGGAUCUGAUCAGGCCUCUAGAUCUAACCACCAGGUGGGCAUGUUAGACAACAUCAUGGGGGUGUCAUCAGAAAAUCCAGACUGGGAGAAACGUGACAGGACAAAUGACGUGGUUCUUCAGCACAUACAUUGCAAGAGGAGAAAAAAGGAGAGAGAGAGAUUGAUGGUGGAACUUAGAGGCUACAGGAGACUUAGGAGACCAAUUAACUGAUUUUAACACAUGGAUGUAAUUUAGAUUCCGACCCCAAAAACUUUUUUAAAAAGAACAGUUUAUGGGUCAGUUGGGGAGAGCUGAAACUGCCUGGUUAUUUCGUGAUAUUAAGGAAUCAACUGUUAAUAGUUUUUAGGUAUGAUAAUGGUAAUGUUACUAUGUUUUCUAAAAGAGGAUCCUUAAGUUUUAGAGGUACAUACUGAAAUAUUUGUUUUUUAAAUGUUUUAAAAAGUUUAUUGCUCUUUCAGAAAUAUGCUGACAUAUUGACAGAUGAUUUGAUAUCUGGGAUUGCUUCAAAACCAUCCUGGGGUGGGGAGAGGGAGGGAUGGAGGGGAGGGUGCAGGCCAGCGAAUGGAGAUGGACUAUGAAGUGGUAACUGUUGAGCCCUGGGUGAUGGGAAGAUGGAGGUUCAUUAAAGCACUUUUUAAAAUUUUUGCA
This 4952-nucleotide long non-coding RNA is filed under the name Homo sapiens (human). Its description in RNAcentral is "long independently transcribed non-coding RNA 2827, transcript variant 3 (LINC02827)". Lineage: Eukaryota; Metazoa; Chordata; Mammalia; Primates; Hominidae. The record is from RNAcentral.